This 414-nucleotide ribosomal RNA is filed under the name uncultured microorganism. RNAcentral's name for it is "bacterial SSU rRNA". It matches the Rfam family "Archaeal small subunit ribosomal RNA", at positions 459 to 872 of the family's 1478-position model. The record is from RNAcentral.
CAGCCGCCGCGGUAAUACCGGCGGCCCUAGUGGCGGCCACUAUUAUUGGGCUUAAAGCGUCCGUAGCCGGGUUGGUUAGUCUCCCGGGAAAUCUGGCCGCUUAACGGUCAGAAUUCCGGGAGAUACUGCCAGCCUAGGGACCGGGAGAGGCCGAGGGUAUUCCCGGAGUAGGGGUGAAAUCCUAUAAUCCCGGGAGGACCACCUGUGGCGAAGGCGCUCGGCUGGAACGGGUCCGACGGUGAGGGACGAAGGCCAGGGGAGCAAACCGGAUUAGAUACCCGGGUAGUCCUGGCUGUAAACGAUGCGGACUUUGUGUCGGACAAGCUAUGAGCUUGUCCGGUGCCGGAGGGAAACCGUUAAGUCCGCCGCCUGGGGAGUACGGCCGCAAGGCUGAAACUUAAAGGAAUUGGCGGG